This 516-nucleotide ribosomal RNA is filed under the name uncultured Clostridia bacterium. Its description in RNAcentral is "bacterial SSU rRNA". It matches the Rfam family "Bacterial small subunit ribosomal RNA", at positions 8 to 526 of the family's 1533-position model. Lineage: Bacteria; Bacillati; Bacillota; Clostridia. The record is from RNAcentral.
AGAGUUUGAUCCUGGCUCAGGACGAACGCUGGCGGCAUGCCUAACACAUGCAAGUCGAGCGGAGGUAUUUAAGUAGCUUGCUACGAGAAUACCUUAGCGGCGGACGGGUGAGUAACGCGUGAGCAAUCUGCCUUGUACAGGGGGAUAACAGAUGGAAACAUCUGCUAAUACCGCAUAAGACCACACUGGCGAAUGCCAGAGAGGUCAAAGGAGUUAAAUCCGGUACAAGAUGAGCUCGCGUCCCAUUAGCUAGUUGGUAGAGUAACAGCCUACCAAGGCGACGAUGGGUAGCCGACCUGAGAGGGUGAUCGGCCACACUGGGACUGAGACACGGCCCAGACUCCUACGGGAGGCAGCAGUGGGGAAUAUUGCGCAAUGGGGGAAACCCUGACGCAGCAAUGCCGCGUGAGUGAAGAAGGCCUUCGGGUCGUAAAACUCUGUCUUUGGGGAAGAAAAAAAUGACGGUACCCAAGGAGGAAGCCCCGGCUAACUACGUGCCAGCCGCCGCGGUAAUUC